GACGAACGCUGGCGGUGCGCUUAACACAUGCAAGUCGAACGGCAAGGCCUGCUUUCCCUUGUGGGUUGCGGGUACUCGAGUGGCGAACGGGUGAGUACCACGUGAGUGAUCUGCUCCCAACUUGGGUAUAAGCCUGGGAAACUGGGUCUACUUCCCGAUAGGACUGCAGGGUGGUGCCUGUGGUGGAAACCGAUUUUCUAGUGGUUGGGGAUGUGCUCGAGGCCUAUCAGCUUGUUGGUGGGGUAAUGGCCUACCAAGGCGGGGACGGGGAGCCUGCCUGAGAUGAUGGACAGCGACAUUGAGACUGGGAUACGGCCCAUACUCCUGCGAGAAGCGGCAGAGGGGGGUAUUGCACAAUGAGCGGAAGCCUGAUACAGCGAGGCCGCGAGGGAGAUGACGGGCUUCGGAAGGGAAACUCCUGUCAAAGGAGAGGAAGCGACCUGGUUGGAAGGGUGGUGACGGUAGUGGAAGAAGAAGCACCGGCUAACUACGUG
Molecule: ribosomal RNA, 494 nt
Filed under: uncultured bacterium
Lineage: Bacteria
Description: partial 16S ribosomal RNA
Rfam family: Bacterial small subunit ribosomal RNA
Source: RNAcentral